This is a non-coding RNA of Arachis ipaensis, 764 nucleotides long. The record is from RefSeq and is a predicted model, not a curated record. NCBI's taxonomy places the organism in Eukaryota, Viridiplantae, Streptophyta, Magnoliopsida, Fabales, Fabaceae.
UAAUUUUGUCUCUGCUCUCUCUAUAUGUUUUUCAGAGACGAGUUCCAGUCUCCGGUCCAUUUUAUCGCGCUUUUCAUUAUGAACUCGGUGAUUUCAUGAUGUUUAAGGACAACCAUGGGAAUGAGUUUCACGUCAUGUUAGACAAGGUUGGUAACAAUGCUUUUUUUUCGAGGGAUUUCGUUCCAUGGUUGCCGCGUACAACAUAAGGCAUGGGGCUUGGUUGCGCGCCUACUAUGAAGGUGAUGGCACUCUAUGCAUCUCUAUAAGGAACCUUGACGGAUUCCGCAUUGUGUAUCCAAGACCACAUUCUCGAAGCAACUUCACUGCUCCUACACUCAGUAGUGUUAAUCCUCACCGUACAGGCGUUCUUUCUCGUGAUGUCUUCCACACCGGCGACGUUAUACCUCCAUUUUCCAUAGAAUACACUCCUCCCACCUCUCCUGUUCGUAGCAACGCCUUCGGCAGUCCACAAAACUCAACCAACAGCCUGGGUUGUCCUGUCUAUUUUGCCUCGACUACUUCACAAGCGAGUCUGGUGGGCCAGGUUGACCUCGAUUUGCAGAGGCGAUCUCUUAGUCUGCCCGUUGCAUGAGAUACUGUCAGCUUCUCUGAGUGGAUUCGUCGUUAGAUUUGUUUUCGAUAUUGUCUUGCUACCAAGGAUCCUCCUACUCAUGCCUAAUCCAAGUUUCAUGUUUAAAUUCAACUCUUCGCUGUUUCUUCAUUUGUGCUUUGUCAUGUCGUGGAUCGUGUUUUGUUUCUUUUCU